Molecule: ribosomal RNA, 640 nt
Filed under: uncultured bacterium
Lineage: Bacteria
Description: bacterial SSU rRNA
Rfam family: Bacterial small subunit ribosomal RNA (bases 1-544)
Source: RNAcentral
CCUACGGGAGGCAGCAGUAGGGAAUCUUCGGCAAUGGGGGCAACCCUGACCGAGCAACGCCGCGUGAGUGAAGAAGGUUUUCGGAUCGUAAAGCUCUGUUGUAAGUCAAGAACGGGUGUGAGAGUGGAAAGUUCACACUGUGACGGUAGCUUACCAGAAAGGGACGGCUAACUACGUGCCAGCAGCCGCGGUAAUACGUAGGUCCCGAGCGUUGUCCGGAUUUAUUGGGCGUAAAGCGAGCGCAGGCGGUUUGAUAAGUCUGAAGUUAAAGGCUGUGGCUCAACCAUAGUUCGCUUUGGAAACUGUCAAACUUGAGUGCAGAAGGGGAGAGUGGAAUUCCAUGUGUAGCGGUGAAAUGCGUAGAUAUAUGGAGGAACACCGGUGGCGAAAGCGGCUCUCUGGUCUGUAACUGACGCUGAGGCUCGAAAGCGUGGGGAGCGAACAGGAUUAGAUACCCUGGUAGUCCACGCCGUAAACGAUGAGUGCUAGGUGUUGGAUCCUUUCCGGGAUUCAGUGCCGCAGCUACGCAUAGACGACGUCCGCCGUCGGGAGGUAACGGUACCGCCGAGGUUAGUAAACGUUAAAGUUAGUAAGUUAGACGGCGUGAGACGUUGCCGACGGACGACGACGAGGGAGGAGG